This 253-nucleotide ribosomal RNA is filed under the name uncultured bacterium. Its description in RNAcentral is "partial 16S ribosomal RNA". It matches the Rfam family "Bacterial small subunit ribosomal RNA", at positions 524 to 776 of the family's 1533-position model. The record is from RNAcentral.
UACAGGGGGGGCAAGCGUUGUUCGGAAUUACUGGGCGUAAAGCGUGCGUAGGCGGUUUGUUAAGUCUGUCGUGAAAGCCCUGGGCUCAACCUGGGAAUUGCGAUGGAUACUGGCAAGCUAGAGUACGGUAGAGGAUGGUGGAAUUCCCGGUGUAGCGGUGAAAUGCGUAGAGAUCGGGAGGAACACCCGUGGCGAAGGCGGCCAUCUGGACCAGUACUGACGCUGGGGCACGAAAGCGUGGGGAGCAAACAGG